GGUUCUAUAGUGUUGUGGUUAGCACAUCUGCUUUACACGCAGAAGGUCCUGGGUUUGUGCCCCAGUGGAGCCA
Molecule: transfer RNA, 73 nt
Filed under: Pteropus alecto (black flying fox)
Lineage: Eukaryota; Metazoa; Chordata; Mammalia; Chiroptera; Pteropodidae
Rfam family: tRNA
About the family: Transfer RNA (tRNA) molecules are approximately 80 nucleotides in length. Their secondary structure includes four short double-helical elements and three loops (D, anti-codon, and T loops).
Source: Rfam by way of RNAcentral